AUACGUAGGGGGCAAGCGUUGUCCGGAAUUACUGGGCGUAAAGGGUGCGCAGGCGGCUUGGUUAGUCAGAAGUGAAAGUUUGCAGCUUAACUGUAAAAGUGCUUUUGAUACUGCCUGGCUUGAGUCUCGGAGGGGUAAGCGGAAUUCCUAGUGUAGCGGUAAAAUGCGUAGAGAUUAGGAAGAACACCGGCGGCGAAGGCGACUUACUGGGCCGUAACUGACGCUGAGGCGCGAAAGCGUGGGGAGCGAACAGGAUUAGAUACCCUGGUAGUCCACGCGGUAAACGAUGAAUGCUAGGUGUUGCGGGUAUCGACCCCUGCAGUGCCGGUGUAAACACAAUAAGCAUUCCGCCUGGGGAGUACGGCCGCAAGGUUGAAACUCAAAUGAAUGGACGGGG
RNAcentral lists this ribosomal RNA (397 nucleotides) under uncultured bacterium. RNAcentral's name for it is "partial 16S ribosomal RNA". It matches the Rfam family "Bacterial small subunit ribosomal RNA", at positions 523 to 918 of the family's 1533-position model. The record is from RNAcentral.